CCCCCGCAGCCCCCUCCGGCCGCGGGGAGCUCGGGGACCCCCCGCCCCUGCAGGGGGCGAACCAGGGAGCCGGUCCCGGCCCCUCCCGGCAGGAGCGUGUCCUUCCCACUCGUGUCGCUGCCCCGCGGGCUCCAGAGCUGGAGCAGAUCCCGGGACAAGGAGCGCUGCUAGCGGGGUCGGGACACGCUCCUGCCGUCGGGGGGGGGUUAUUACCUGGGGGUCACAAACCCUCCCAGCUCUGCCGCUCCCCGGGAAGAGGCGGGGACGGCUCUGAGAGGCCCCGGCUCGGAGAGGGGGUGGGGCCAGGGCACAGCAUGAGCGGUGCGGGGAGGGUCAGGCUGGCCCCGGGGACCUUCCUUCGAUGGGCUAGAAAAAGCGGAAGCGCCCCCGGGGCAGGCUGGGAGAUGUAGUUCCUGACUCUCCCUGGACCGGAAGUGACGUUGGGUGGGAGAGAACAAGCCGAGUUGCAAACGCGCGCGGGCCGCUCCGGCUCUGCCUGGCUCGCGCGGGGCCGUUGGAGCCUCUCCCGGGGCCGGAGAAGGGUCUGUGACUGAGAUCAGGGCUCCUAUCGUACUGAGCGUGGCCCUGUUCUGCCAGGUGCUGCAGAGACCCCAACUGAGAUCUGGACCCUGUUCUGCCAGGCACUGAAGAGACCCCAGCACCUGGCAUUGGCCACUGAGCU
Gopherus evgoodei (Goodes thornscrub tortoise) is the source of this 682-nucleotide long non-coding RNA. RefSeq lists it as uncharacterized. NCBI's taxonomy places the organism in Eukaryota, Metazoa, Chordata, Testudines, Testudinidae. The transcript has 3 exons. The record is from RefSeq and is a predicted model, not a curated record.